RNAcentral lists this ribosomal RNA (460 nucleotides) under uncultured bacterium. RNAcentral's name for it is "partial 16S ribosomal RNA". It matches the Rfam family "Bacterial small subunit ribosomal RNA", at positions 338 to 795 of the family's 1533-position model. The record is from RNAcentral.
CCUACGGGAGGCAGCAGUGAGGAAUAUUGGUCAAUGGACGAGAGUCUGAACCAGCCAAGUAGCGUGAAGGAUGACUGCCCUAUGGGUUGUAAACUUCUUUUAUAUGGGAAUAAAAUGUUCCAAGUGUGGGAUUUUGUAUGUACCAUAUGAAUAAGGAUCGGCUAACUCCGUGCCAGCAGCCGCGGUAAUACGGAGGAUCCGAGCGUUAUCCGGAUUUAUUGGGUUUAAAGGGAGCGUAGGUGGAUUGUUAAGUCAGUUGUGAAAGUUUGCGGCUCAACCGUAGAAUUGCAGUUGAAACUGGCAGUCUUGAGUACAGGAGAGGUGGGCGGAAUUCGUGGUGUAGCGGUGAAAUGCUUAGAUAUCACGAAGAACUCCGAUUGCGAAGGCAGUUCACUGGACUGCAACUGACACUGAGGCUCGAAAGUGUGGGUAUCAAACAGGAUUAGAUACCCUAGUAGUC